RNAcentral lists this ribosomal RNA (1377 nucleotides) under uncultured bacterium. RNAcentral's name for it is "bacterial SSU rRNA". It matches the Rfam family "Bacterial small subunit ribosomal RNA", at positions 8 to 1383 of the family's 1533-position model. The record is from RNAcentral.
AGAGUUUGAUCCUUUCUCAGAUUGAACGCUGGCGGCAUGCCUUACACAUGCAAGUCGAACGGCAGCACGGGGGCUUGCUCCUGGUGGCGAGUGGCGAACGGGUGAGUAAUAUAUCGGAACGUACCCUAGAGUGGGGGAUAACGCAGCGAAAGUUGCGCUAAUACCGCAUACGAUCUACGGAUGAAAGUGGGGGAUCGCAAGACCUCAUGCUCAUGGAGCGGCCGAUAUCUGAUUAGCUAGUUGGUGGGGUAAAGGCCUACCAAGGCAUCAAUCAGUAGCUGGUCUGAGAGGACGACCAGCCACACUGGAACUGAGACACGGUCCAGACUCCUACGGGAGGCAGCAGUGGGGAAUUUUGGACAAUGGGGGCAACCCUGAUCCAGCAAUGCCGCGUGAGUGAAGAAGGCCUUCGGGUUGUAAAGCUCUUUUGUCAGGGAAGAAACGGUGAGGGCUAAUAUCCUUUGCUAAUGACGGUACCUGAAGAAUAAGCACCGGCUAACUACGUGCCAGCAGCCGCGGUAAUACGUAGGGUGCAAGCGUUAAUCGGAAUUACUGGGCGUAAAGCGUGCGCAGGCGGUUAUGUAAGUCAGAUGUGAAAUCCCCGGGCUCAACCUGGGAAUGGCAUUUGAGACUGCAUGGCUAGAGUGUGUCAGAGGGGGGUAGAAUUCCACGUGUAGCAGUGAAAUGCGUAGAGAUGUGGAGGAAUACCGAUGGCGAAGGCAGCCCCCUGGGAUAACACUGACGCUCAUGCACGAAAGCGUGGGGAGCAAACAGGAUUAGAUACCCUGGUAGUCCACGCCCUAAACGAUAAUGCUAGUUGUCGGGGCUUAAUUGUUUUUGUAAAGCAGAUAACAAGUGAAGUAGACCGCCUGGGGAGUACGGUCGCAAGAAUUAAAACUCAAAGGAAAUGACGGGGACCCGCGCAAGCGGUGGAUGAUGUGGAUUAAUUUGAUGCAACGCGAAAAAACCUUACCUACCCCUGACACGUACGGAACCUCUGAGAGAUUAGAGGGUGCUCGAAAGAGAGCCGUAACACAGGUGCUGCAUGGCUGUCGUCAGCUCGUGUCGUGAGAUGUUGGGUUAAGUCCCGCAACGAGCGCAACCCCCGUCAUUAGUUGUUACGAAAGGGCACUCUAAUGAGACUGCCGGUGACAAACCGGAGGAAGGUGGGGAGGACGUCAAGUCCUCAUGGCCCCUAUGGGUAGGGCUUCACACGUCAUACAAUGGUACAUACAGAGGGCCGCCAACCCGCGAGGGGGAGGUAAUCCCAGAAAGAGUAUCGUAGUCCGGAUUGUAGUCUGCAACUCGACUACAUGAAGUUGGAAUCGCUAGUAAUCGCGGAUCAGCAUGUCGCGCCGAAAAAGUUCCCGGGUCUUG